This is a long non-coding RNA of Macrobrachium nipponense, 270 nucleotides long. RefSeq lists it as uncharacterized. NCBI's taxonomy places the organism in Eukaryota, Metazoa, Arthropoda, Malacostraca, Decapoda, Palaemonidae. The transcript has 3 exons. The record is from RefSeq and is a predicted model, not a curated record.
AGUUUGCGUUGUUAGUGACGAAGGGAGACUGGAAGGUUCCUUUAUCGACCUCUACGAUUAUUAGAAAAAGUGAAUUUAUCUCCCAUCAAGAUUAACAGUCAACAACGGCCGUGUUACUCGACGUCAUCUUCAAGGCUUGAGUCAAACGGUUGCUGGAUGGAGGAAAGCAGAGAUGAUGGACAGGGUGACAUCCAAGUCCCUCAAGUGGAUCUGAUGAUAUCUACACGCGUCGAACAAGCGAGAUAAGCUUCAGCAGGCGAAAGACCACGC